Molecule: ribosomal RNA, 941 nt
Filed under: Ascidiella aspersa
Lineage: Eukaryota; Metazoa; Chordata; Ascidiacea; Phlebobranchia; Ascidiidae
Description: SSU rRNA
Rfam family: Eukaryotic small subunit ribosomal RNA
Source: RNAcentral
GCUCGUAGUUGGAUUUUGGGCGCAGGCGGCCGGUCCGUCGCAAGGCGUGUACUGGCCGUCCUGGCCUCACCUCCGGUUCUCCGCCGGUGCCCUUGACUGAGUGUCGGCGGCGGCCGGAACGUUUACUUUGAAAAAAUUAGAGUGUUCAAAGCAGGCGAUUCGCCUGAAUAAUGGUGCAUGGAAUAAUGGAAUAGGACCUCGGUUCUAUUUUGUUGGUUUUCGGAGCGCGAGGUAAUGAUUAAGAGGGACAGACGGGGGCAUUCGUACUGUGCCGUUAGAGGUGAAAUUCUUGGAUCGGCGCAAGACGAACGACUGCGAAAGCAUUUGCCAAGAAUGUUUUCUUUAAUCAAGAGCGAAAGUCAGAGGUUCGAAGACGAUCAGAUACCGUCCUAGUUCUGACUAUAAACGAUGCCAACUAGCGAUCGGGGGGCGUUAGUUUUACGACCUCUCCGGCAGCUUGCGGGAAACCAAAGUCUUUGGGUUCCGGGGGAAGUAUGGUUGCAAAGCUGAAACUUAAAGGAAUUGACGGAAGGGCACCACCAGGAGUGGAGCCUGCGGCUUAAUUUGACUCAACACGGGAAAUCUCACCCGGCCCGGACACAGUGAGGAUUGACAGAUUGAGAGCUCUUUCUUGAUUCUGUGGGUGGUGGUGCAUGGCCGUUCUUAGUUGGUGGAGCGAUUUGUCUGGUUAAUUCCGAUAACGAACGAGACUCUGGCUUGCUAACUAGUUACGCGACCCAAUCGGUCGGCGUCUAACUUCUUAGAGGGACUAGUGGCGUUUAGCCACACGAGAUUGAGCAAUAACAGGUCUGUGAUGCCCUUAGAUGUUCGGGGCCGCACGCGCGCUACACUGACCGGAUCAGCAUGUGCUCGCCUUGGCCGACAGGUCUGGGUAACCCGCUGAACCCCGGUCGUGCUAGGGAUAGGGAAUUGCAAUUAUU